Panicum virgatum (switchgrass) is the source of this 1743-nucleotide long non-coding RNA. RefSeq lists it as uncharacterized. NCBI's taxonomy places the organism in Eukaryota, Viridiplantae, Streptophyta, Magnoliopsida, Poales, Poaceae. The transcript is spliced from 2 exons. The record is from RefSeq and is a predicted model, not a curated record.
CUAACACAUACUAUGUUUUGGUCUGCGAGAGCAAGACAACCCAACCUAAAGGUUAGGCCUUCUCUAGUGGUGGGUAUGCUAAGUGGCAUAAAAGUCUGACAAAGAUGGUGGGUGCGAUUUUGCUUGUUCCCUCUGUAGUCGUCCGCAUUCUUGUGUGGGUCCGUAUUAUAUAAAAGAUUUACUUGCCUCUCUCCAGAGGAAGGACUCGCGCGCUGCUAAGGAAACUUCCGUUCCCCAUUUACUCUAGAUCCCCUUCUUCCUCUCUCUCCGGGCAAUCCUACACAAAUCAGCUGUGGAAUUAGAAUACCAGUCAUGCAAAUCGGGUCCAGGAAGCGUGGAUUUGGCGGCGCGCUCGACACCAACGCAGGCAGUGUCGUCGUUGUCAUGGCGACCUUGCCGGCGGCACAGCCACGGUCGUCUCGGAGGGAGCAGCACAGCGCGGGGUGAUGGCGGUGUUGACGAAGGAGCAGGAUAAGGUCGCGGCCUGCGGCGUCGGCGCCACGCCCAUGAAAGUGCUGCCGCUACAGGACUGGAAAGACGCAUCUACGAGGGAAGGUCAACGGACUCCAAACUGGCUUUGCUCUUGAUAUGUUCCUUCAUGAGGCCGGGGAUUUGCUGGAGCACUUGCUUCAUCAGUAUCUUGAUUGGAAGAAGAAGUGUAAGCUCCAGAUGCAUUUAACUUCAGCCUCUUAUUCUCUAAUGGAUAUACUCUAGCCCACUUAGGCUGAUCCUUAAUAACUCUCCACCAGUACUCAAAUAGGAAUGGCUUUUGUUUGUUUUCACUUUUGUAAACUGCAUGGGCUCUCUCCAGUAUUUGCUCAUCUGAUUCACCACUGCCAUGUGCGCUUUUCAUUCUAUGCCAACAUGAAUUGAACUUUGUAACCUUGGGUGCAUUCUUAUUCCAAUGGCUUUUGCAUUGCGGCACUGUUCUUCUACGGUCCUUAGGAGAAUACUUGUUAUAUUCUCUAGUGACUUCCUUCCAAUAAUGAUAAAAUUUCUUGUCAUUGCCUUUAACUGGAUCAUUGGAAUUGUUCAACCAUGCACUUACUAGACGUAUGUUCUCCUCUUCACUCCAAUACUUGCGCCCAGGAUUCUUUUUUCCUUCCUCAGGACUGCUAUCACACUCUUCUUCAAUUACAGGGCCUCCUUGUACAGGCUGAGGAAUAGAGACCGGAGAAGCUGAUUCAUCACCACGUGAUCCACCACCACCUGUACCUCCAAAGAAGAAAGUCGAUCCAACUGGAGAUGAUGGAUCGCUGGCCAUACCAACUCCAGAUGGUUCUUGCUGCUGUUGCCCCACACCUCCUUGAUAAGGGAAGCAAGGAUAGCUUGAAGAUCCAGGAUGAAAUUGCUGAUAGCCUGGUGGAGCUACAUAAGGAUUGAAGUUGUGUGCAUAAUGUGGCUGUUGAUUGGUUGCAUAUGGUGGUGGUGGGAUAUGUGGGGGAAAAUAAGGUGGAGGAAAACUAUGGUAUUGCUGGCUGUAGCCGCUUUGUACUGGUGGGAAAUCUGGAGUCGAGGAUGGGUUGUUCAAACUUGUGAAGCUAGCAGAGGAAGAUGAUGGCUCCAUGGAUGUGGAGAGGAGAGCAGCAAGGAAGAGAGGGGACUGUAAAAUUUUCAGUCUCAAAUGGAAAAUGCGUGUAUAUGUAUAGGCCAAGGAAGCAACGGCUAGUUCGUUUCUUCCAACGGUCAGGCUGUCCGUUGAUUUCACUGUACAUUUCACUGUAUAUAUAUUUGUUUAUUUGA